GGUUGUGUAGUGUAGUGGUAUGAGUAUUGGACUACGACUCUAGAGUCCAUGGUUUGAUUCCCUGCUCAGCCA
Molecule: non-coding RNA, 72 nt
Organism: Phrynosoma platyrhinos (Desert horned lizard)
Lineage: Eukaryota; Metazoa; Chordata; Lepidosauria; Squamata; Phrynosomatidae
Source: the annotation of a GenBank genome assembly